RNAcentral lists this ribosomal RNA (1444 nucleotides) under Serratia sp. enrichment culture clone SYW21. RNAcentral's name for it is "bacterial SSU rRNA". It matches the Rfam family "Bacterial small subunit ribosomal RNA". The record is from RNAcentral. Lineage: Bacteria; Pseudomonadati; Pseudomonadota; Gammaproteobacteria; Enterobacterales; Yersiniaceae.
CCCCGGCGGGCGGCGCCUACCAUGCAGUCGAGCGGUAGCACAGGAGAGCUUGCUCUCCGGGUGACGAGCGGCGGACGGGUGAGUAAUGUCUGGGAAACUGCCUGAUGGAGGGGGAUAACUACUGGAAACGGUAGCUAAUACCGCAUAACGUCUACGGACCAAAGUGGGGGACCUUCGGGCCUCACGCCAUCAGAUGUGCCCAGAUGGGAUUAGCUAGUAGGUGGGGUAAUGGCUCACCUAGGCGACGAUCCCUAGCUGGUCUGAGAGGAUGACCAGCCACACUGGAACUGAGACACGGUCCAGACUCCUACGGGAGGCAGCAGUGGGGAAUAUUGCACAAUGGGCGCAAGCCUGAUGCAGCCAUGCCGCGUGUGUGAAGAAGGCCUUAGGGUUGUAAAGCACUUUCAGCGAGGAGGAAGGGUUCAGUGUUAAUAGCACUGUGCAUUGACGUUACUCGCAGAAGAAGCACCGGCUAACUCCGUGCCAGCAGCCGCGGUAAUACGGAGGGUGCAAGCGUUAAUCGGAAUUACUGGGCGUAAAGCGCACGCAGGCGGUUUGUUAAGUCAGAUGUGAAAUCCCCGCGCUUAACGUGGGAACUGCAUUUGAAACUGGCAAGCUAGAGUCUUGUAGAGGGGGGUAGAAUUCCAGGUGUAGCGGUGAAAUGCGUAGAGAUCUGGAGGAAUACCGGUGGCGAAGGCGGCCCCUGGACAAAGACUGACGCUCAGGUGCGAAAGCGUGGGGAGCAAACAGGAUUAGAUACCGUGGUAGUCCACGCUGUAAACGAUGUCGAUUUGGAGGUUGUGCCCUUGAGGCGUGGCUUCCGGAGCUAACGCGUUAAAUCGACCGCCUGGGGAGUACGGCCGCAAGGUUAAAACUCAAAUGAAUUGACGGGGGCCCGCACAAGCGGUGGAGCAUGUGGUUUAAUUCGAUGCAACGCGAAGAACCUUACCUACUCUUGACAUCCAGAGAAUUCGCUAGAGAUAGCUUAGUGCCUUCGGGAACUCUGAGACAGGUGCUGCAUGGCUGUCGUCAGCUCGUGUUGUGAAAUGUUGGGUUAAGUCCCGCAACGAGCGCAACCCUUAUCCUUUGUUGCCAGCGAUUCGGUCGGGAACUCAAAGGAGACUGCCGGUGAUAAACCGGAGGAAGGUGGGGAUGACGUCAAGUCAUCAUGGCCCUUACGAGUAGGGCUACACACGUGCUACAAUGGCGUAUACAAAGAGAAGCGAACUCGCGAGAGCAAGCGGACCUCAUAAAGUACGUCGUAGUCCGGAUUGGAGUCUGCAACUCGACUCCAUGAAGUCGGAAUCGCUAGUAAUCGUAGAUCAGAAUGCUACGGUGAAUACGUUCCCGGGCCUUGUACACACCGCCCGUCACACCAUGGGAGUGGGUUGCAAAAGAAGUAGGUAGCUUAACCUUCGGGAGGGCGCUACCACUUGAUUAAGGG